This 221-nucleotide unclassified non-coding RNA is filed under the name Hevea brasiliensis (rubber tree). Lineage: Eukaryota; Viridiplantae; Streptophyta; Magnoliopsida; Malpighiales; Euphorbiaceae. The record is from RNAcentral.
GACGGAUGCAUGUUGGUCCCGCUAGAUGUAACUUUGUCUCUUUCGGUAAAUCGUUUAGGAAGGCUUGAGAAAGAUGUUCCUCAAUACUUCAUAAGUGUAGAGUUGAAUAGUGUGGUUGUUUCACUGGAUGAGAUUCAAAUGCAACAAAUCUUGAGCAUUUGUGAUUAUUUGCUGACAUGCCAAUUGAGAGAGAAGUAUGGACGGUUUCGUCCUUGGUGGAG